AGGGAUAUAGUUUAAUGGUAGAAUAGCGGUCUCCAAAACCGUUGAUGGGGGUUCGAUUCCCUCUAUCCCUG
Molecule: non-coding RNA, 71 nt
Organism: Fructobacillus fructosus KCTC 3544
Lineage: Bacteria; Bacillati; Bacillota; Bacilli; Lactobacillales; Lactobacillaceae
Source: Rfam